UGGAGAUUCCUCCCCACCAGACAUCCAAGAAGGAGAAGCUCAUGUAUGAGAAGCUCCCUCAUUCCAGGAGAACCCUCCCAUCUCCAGCUCCUCUCCACCCUGAGGAAUCACCCCUUACCCUGGUGCAUUCCGAGCAGUGAAGCAGCUCCCGGUGGUUCAGCCGCUGGGAGAGGAAGAUCAGCUCUGCAGCCCUUCACCAAGCCCGGCCUGAGGAAUUUCUGGGCUCUGCUACUUCAUCCCAGCCCUUCUCCAGCCUCUCCAAGUCCACCCUCAUCCCUGCCAGCAGGCACAGCCGCUCCUGCUCAGCAGAGAGCUGGAAGUGCACAGUGGAAGUUGAGCAUCCUCAGGAACACAUCCAGACCCGUGGAAACACAUCCCUGAUGCUGCACAGGACCCCUGAGCAGGACGUGCUCCCAGAGCAGCCAGAGAGUGGUAGAAGAGGUGGGAACAAGGCUGGGAAGGGUGGGCUCAGCCCAGUGGAUCACAUUGCUGGAACAUACCCUGGAUCCGUGGCAUGAAGCAGGGGAAGGAUCAUCUUCAUGCCAGGACCUCAUUCGUUUCCAUUAAAAUAUCAUUUUUCCAAAGGGAGAAGUUUAAUUGUCAGGGAAAUUGUGGCAUUAAUUGUUGCAAAUUUGGAACACCAGGAGUGCUCUGAGGCCACAGGGCAGCAAAGAGCACGAGCUGUGAACAAAUUCCAGCGCCGGGCAGUGAUGGGGCACUUCCCACUCCCACUGAGCCAAGGAGGAUGGACCCUGUAGCCAAAGCCUGCGGAUUUGAUCCACUCCAGCAAAACCAGGCUGCUUUGCCUCAGAAUCCCUGCUCUGCCCUGCUGGUGGCACAGCUGCUGAUGUGUCAAGGGACAGCUCUGCAGCCUUGGAGCCCAGCUCUGCUGCUGACCCUCAUUUCCCAGCAUGGCCACUGAACAACCCAGGAGAUUCCUACCCACAGGAGUUUCCUUCCCACAGGAAGGUGGGUCCCACAAGUGGGUUUGGUGGCAGGGAAGUCUCCUGAUGCCUCCUGCUCCUUCCUCCUGUGCUGCUCAGCUGAUGGGACAGAAUGGGUUUGUGUCAUUUCCUCAAGGAGGAAAUGUGCUGUUCCAAAGAGGGCUUGGAGCUCCUUCAGCAGUGAGUCAUGACUUUGUGUAUAAGCUAAACACUGGAGCAGAAUCAUAAAUAAAUAAAACUGCCUUCAUAAACUGGAAAUUAAA
RNAcentral lists this long non-coding RNA (1207 nucleotides) under Cyanistes caeruleus (blue tit). Its description in RNAcentral is "lncRNA (ENSCCEG00000011171.1)". The record is from RNAcentral. Lineage: Eukaryota; Metazoa; Chordata; Aves; Passeriformes; Paridae.